This 394-nucleotide small RNA is filed under the name Drosophila mojavensis. RNAcentral's name for it is "GI26707". Lineage: Eukaryota; Metazoa; Arthropoda; Insecta; Diptera; Drosophilidae. The record is from RNAcentral.
AAUUGGGAUUUCAGUUUCGUUUUGAUAAUCGACUCGUGUGGGCGUCGUUGUAGUCGUCGUCAUCGUCGUUCCGUAUGUGAGCCGAGAGCAGCGCAGUCGAAGUUCUUUUCGUAAAAAAUGCGUGCGCUGUUCUUGUUCUUGUUGUUACGCUUCUGCCAAUUCUGCUCAUGCAACGGCAACAUCGGCAACGUCAACGCAUCAUUUGCAAAUUAGCAGCAGCAGCAACAGUUGCAAGCGCGCAGCACCAGCAACGGUCAAAACAAAAUUCGUUGAACGAAUUCAUAAUAAUUCAAAAGUGCAAAAGUGUGCACGAGUGUGUGUGUGUCUAAUUUGUCAAAAUGAGCACACGCCGCCAACGAUAUGUAAAGUGAGUAAAACACACGGAAAAAAAAAA